AUUGAACGCUGGCGGCGUGCCUAACACAUGCAAGUCGAGCGGUAACAGGUGUAGCAAUACAUGCUGACGAGCGGCGAACGGGUGAGUAAUGCUUCGGAAUCUACCCAAUGGUGGGGAAUAACCAGCCGAAAGGUUGGCUAAUACCGCAUACGUCCCACGGGAGAAAGCAGGGGAUCGCAAGACCUUGCGCCAAUGGAUGAGCCGAAGUCGGAUUAGCUAGUGGUAGGGUAACGGCCUACCAAGGCGACGAUCCGUAGCUGGUCUGAGAGGACGACCAGCCACACUGGGACUGAGACACGGCCCAGACUCCUACGGGAGGCAGCAGUGGGGAAUAUUGGACAAUGGGGGAAACCCUGAUCCAGCGACGCCGCGUGUGUGAAGAAGGCCUGCGGG
Molecule: ribosomal RNA, 393 nt
Filed under: uncultured bacterium
Lineage: Bacteria
Description: bacterial SSU rRNA
Rfam family: Bacterial small subunit ribosomal RNA
Source: RNAcentral